CCUACGGGUGGCCGCAGUGAGUAAUAUUUGUCAAUGGACGAGAGUCUGAACCAGCCAAGUAGCGUUAAGUAUUACUGCCCUAUGGGUUGUAAACUUCUUUUAUAUGGGAAUAAAAUGUUCCACGUGUGGGAUUUUGUAUGUACCAUAUGAAUAAGGAUCGGCUAACUCCGUGCCAGCAGCCGCGGUAAUACGGAGGAUCCGAGCGUUAACCGGAUUUAGUGGGUUUAAAGGGAGCGUAGGUAGAUUGUUAAGUCAGUUGUGAAAGUUUGCGGCUCAACCGUAAAAUUGCAGUUGAAACUGGCAGUCUUUAGUACAGUAGAGGUGGGCGGAAUGCGUGGUGUAGCGGUGAAAUGCUUAGAUAUCACGAAGAACUCCGAUUGCGAAGGCAGUUCACUGGACUGCAACUGACACUGAGGCUCGAAAGUGUGGGUAUCAAACAGGAUUAGAUACCCGGGUAGUC
RNAcentral lists this ribosomal RNA (460 nucleotides) under uncultured bacterium. RNAcentral describes it as "partial 16S ribosomal RNA". It matches the Rfam family "Bacterial small subunit ribosomal RNA", at positions 338 to 795 of the family's 1533-position model. The record is from RNAcentral.